Molecule: ribosomal RNA, 694 nt
Filed under: uncultured Glomeromycotina
Lineage: Eukaryota; Fungi; Glomeromycota
Description: SSU rRNA
Rfam family: Eukaryotic small subunit ribosomal RNA
Source: RNAcentral
AUGGUGGUAACGGGUAACGGGGUGUUAGGGCACGACACCGGAGAGGGAGCCUGAGAAACGGCUACCACAUCCAAGGAUGGCAGCAGGCGCGCAAAUUACCCAAUCCCGACACGGGGAGGUAGUGACAAUAAAUAACAAUACGGGGUUCUUUAGGAUCUCGUAAUUGGAAUGAGUACAAUUUAAAUCUCUUAACGAGGAACAAUUGGAGGGCAAGUCUGGUGCCAGCAGCCGCGGUAAUUCCAGCUCCAAUAGCGUAUAUUAAAGUUGUUGCAGUUAAAAAGCUCGUAGUUGAAUUUCGAGAUCGGCUUACUGGUCGUGCUAUUGUACGUACUGGUAUAAUCGGUUUCUCCUUUCUGACGAACUAUAAUGCCAUUAAUUUGGUGUUUUAGGGAAUCAGGACUGUUACUUUGAAAAAAUUAGAGUGUUUAAAGCAGGCUCACGCUUGAAUACAUUAGCAUGGAAUAACGGAAUAGGACGUUUGAUUCUAUUUUGUUGGUUUCUAGGAUCGACGUAAUGAUUAAUAGGGAUAGUUGGGGGCAUUAGUAUUCAAUUGUCAGAGGUGAAAUUCUUGGAUUUAUUGAAGACUAACUACUGCGAAAGCAUUUGCCAAGGAUGUUUUCAUUAAUCAAGAACGAAAGUUAGGGGAUCGAAGACGAUCAGAUACCGUCGUAGUCUUAACCAUAAACUAUGCCGA